This is an RNA transcript of Marmota monax (woodchuck), 5977 nucleotides long. It is a transcript of the gene named zinc finger protein 597, with no coding region annotated. Lineage: Eukaryota; Metazoa; Chordata; Mammalia; Rodentia; Sciuridae. The record is from RefSeq and is a predicted model, not a curated record. The transcript is spliced from 3 exons.
CAUCCGACGCCCAGGGAUCAACCCUGUAUGACGACCUAGCUGUGUAUUUUUGUCAAGAGGAAUGUGUGAGCCUGCACCCUGCCCAGAAAAUCAAAAAAGAAAUCAAACAGGAGUGUUUCGAAGAUGUGGCUUUGAUGGGAUCCUUGGCUGAGUGAGAAAUGGAGGACCUAAAACUGAAGCCUGAGAAAUAACGAGAGGCAUGGAAGAAGAGCAUUAUCUGAAAAGGAGAAGGAAAGGCAGAGGGCGAGGACACUGGAAUGUCAGGAGAAUGGAGAAUUUCAAGGUGGGGGGGAGUGAUCAACUGGGCUUGAGGUUCUUUUUUUUCUUCUUCUUUUUUCUUUUUUUCUUUUUUCUUUUUUUUCAUAUUUAUUUUUUUUAGUUUUCGGCGGACACAACAUCUUUGUUGUAUGUGGUGCAGAGGAUCAAACCGGGGCCACACGCAUGCCAGGAGAGCGCGCUACCACUUGAGCCACAGCCCCAGCCCUGGGCUGGAGGUUCUUGAGAUGUCAAAUGAUUUGGGGACCAAGAAAAGUUUAUUGGAUUUUUCAACCCAGAGAUCAAUGGACCCCUCAACAAGAAUAACAGUGAAACAGUGGUAGCAGAAGCCAGAUUAGAGAAGACAAGACAGAAAGGGGAACAUGUGGAGAGAUGAGAUUGUAGCUACAAGGAAAUGUGAGUUCAAGAGUAGUUUUUAAAAAUCUAAGAGAUAUCCACAGCAUGUUUGAAUAAUGUUUCAGGAAAUCAAUACAAAUACAAACUCAAGACUUUCCACUGGUUGUAUUAUUGAUGGCAUGCAGGCAGCCCAACCUCUGACAGCCCCAGAGGACCCAGGCAGGAGAAUGUGUCCUUCUGUCUGGAUGUCUAGUGGCUGCUGGGGACGGGUACUACCAGCUAACAGAAAAACUUGAAGAAUUUCAUUCAAAACACAGAACUGACACACAAGGGCCUUCCAAAAUUACCAUGGAAUGAGCCUUUCUGAAGAGAUGGCCAGAGAAAACAACAAAUCCAGAUCAAGAACAGAGCUGCCUCAGUCUGACAGCUGCACCCCCACCUUACCUGCUACUGAUUCUGGUCCGAAAGAACUAUGAGGUCAUGUCUGUGAUGUCACAGACACUGACAAACUUUCAUCUCUGGACACUCUCUGCUUCUCUUUCCAGCCUGAGACUUUGUGUCUCACCAUUCCUCAAAGUAGUUGGGGUCUCCUUUAAAGCCCUAUGGUCUGCAAGAUCCUAAGUAUGAUUCCUGGCUCUUCUCUUGGAAAAAUUCCUGGGGAUGGGGCUUCAUUAGCUUCAGUUGGAGCACAGCAACACCCUCCUCCAUUACUGCAGGGUUGCUAUUCUUGGAGCUCACACAUUAUUGUCUGAAUACAAAAACUCCAUCACUGAUACCCUGCUUCACCCCUACAGAUCACCGUGUGGACUCAGGACAGAAGUAUGGGAAUAGAGAUCUCUGGAAAGCCAAAGCUAAAACACUGAAUGAGAAGUCGGAUAUGUGCAGCUGGGUAAAACAGGACCAGGAGGAAAGUUAUAUCCCAGUGCCACAACUACCACUGGCAGAGAGCACAACAGAGUCCUGUUUGCUCAGGGCAGUGUAGGGAGUCUGUGCAGCCACACCCUGAGCUCCUGAGCUCUGUUAUAUAUGCAGCAUACUCCCAGUCCUUCUGGUCCCACUCUGGCCAUCUCUUGAUAACAAAUCUAGCUGUAUUAAUCUGUUUAGAGAAGUGUCCCCCUCACAUUGAGGCUGUUUUAGUCAGAUUUUUCACUGCUGUGACUAAAUGAUCUGACCAGAACAACUGUAGAAGAGGAAAGGUUUAUUUACAGCUCACAGUUUCAGAAGUUGUAGUCCAUAGAAGGCCAGCUCUAUUCCUCGGAGCUUGAGGUGAGGCAGAACAUCAUGGCAGAAGAGUGUGUCAGAGGGAAGCAGCUCACAUGGAAUCAGGAAGCAGAAAGAAAAAGAGUCUCCACUUGCCAGAUACAAAUAUAUACCCCCCAAACCAGGACCCAAUUCCUACCUUCUCCAGCCACACCCCACCACUUCAGUAACCACUCAGUUAAUCCCUAUCGGGAUUAAUUCACAAAUUGGGUUAAGACUCUUUUUUUAAUAUUUAUUUUUUAGUUGAGAUUGUACACAACACCUUUAUUUUUUUAUUUAUUUUUAUGAGGUGCUGAGGAUUGAACCCAGGGCCUCACACAUGGCUAGGAGAGUGCACUACGGAUGAGCCACAACCUGAGCCCUGGGUUAAAGACUCUUACAACCGAAUCAUUUCUCCUCUGAACUUUCUUGCAUUGUCUCACACCAUGAGCUUCUGGGGGAUAUUUAAACCAUAAUAGAGGACUUAACUAAAAUUCCUCUGCCUUGCUGUGCAUUGUGAACCAUCACAAAGCAAGCACUUCAAGAACCAGAAGAUUUUCAUUCAGAGCUGGCUCAGUUGAAUAUAACUUGAAGAGGAAAAAGUUUGUGUUCUACAGGGGAUAUGUGUCUCUCUUCAUUAUUGAGGAGGAGAGACCUACUGAAAGCUUAGUGUUUGGUGAGAACAUCCAGUCUUGCCUUUGGCCCACUCUCCUGGAAAGGAAAAACAGCAUUCUCUUAGGAAGGCUGACAUGGACACCGGCUGGGGAAAAAAAGAAGUGAUAAAGAAGGAAGAGCAACAAAAUCAAGAUUUUCCACCUGUUCCCACUGCCUGUCCCAUACCCAAGCCCAUUACAACCUGCUAUCCAUUUUCUCUGACCAUACUCCCUUACCCUCCCACUGCCUUGAUGCAGUGGCACAUGCAUGUAAUCCCAGCCAUUCGGGAGGCUGAGGCAGGAGGACCACAAGUUUGAGGCCAGCUCUGGCAACUUAAAGAGACCCUAUCUCAAAACAAAAAAUAAAAAGGAGGGGCUGGGGAUACAGCUCAGUUGGUAGAGUGCCUGCCUUGCAUGCACAAGGCCCUGAGUUCAAUCCCCAGCCCCCCCCCAAAAUAAAUAAAUAAAUAAAUAUAAAAAGAGAUGGAGAUGGGACUGGGGGUCCCAUCUCAGUAGGAGAGCACUUGCGAGCAUAUGCAAGGCCCUGGGUUCAAUUCCUAGCACCACCAGAAAAGUGGUGGGGUCUGGAGAUGUAACUUAGUGGUAAAACACCCCUGAGUUCAAUCCCCAAUACAAAAACAAACAGAAAAAAGCCGUUACUUUGGUCCCCCAGGUUCUCACUCCAAAUCCUGUACCAAGGUCGUUGCUUUCUGGGUGAUGCUCCAUCACUCAGACCCAGCUUGAAUCUCCCUGUGUAGGAUGGUCAGGAAUUGCUUUAGCCCCAGAGUUCUCUCCUGAGUGCAAUGUCAGCUGUUGCCUUUAACAACAGAGCUCUCAGAGUUGGUGGAAGACCCUGAGAAGCCCAGAUACUUGCUACAGUCUGGAGGGCUGGUGGGAGAUCUCCAAAUUGCCAAUCCCUUUGAGAGAGGUUAGCUUUACCAUCAACCACCUGAGAGACAACAAGGAUAGGUGAGGAGUUCAACUGCAUAAGCUGAUCUGCAGCUCAAAAUUCAGUUCCUACAACUCUGAAGAAUCACCUCCAGCUAGGUCUCUCAGAUAAAAUCUUUGCUCUGGAAAAGAGGUCAUGUGAGAAUUUAUUUCUCUUCAUUUCCUCACUCUAAAAAAGAACUAAAGAAUGUAUAGUUUUCUCAUCACAUUCAUAAAGGCUCUGACCUCAUCAAUGAAUUAAUCAAUUGAUAACUGAAUAGACUACUGGUAGGUGGUGAAAGGGGGACAUAAUUAAAGGAGUGAAUCCUUCAAGAUAUGCCCUUAUGGACUGUAUCUGUCCCUGGCCUCUUCCUCUCUGUAUCCCUAGCUAACAUGAGCUGAGAAGUUUUCCUCCACCACAUCCUUCAGCCAAUUAUUUUCUACCUUACCUCAGGCCAGAGCAAUGGAGUUGGAUGACUACAGAAUGAAAAUUCUUAGCUGAAAACAAAUGUUUUCUCCUCAAAGUUGUUUUUCUGUUAUUUGUCACAGUGAUGAAAAGCUAAUGCAGAGGCAAAACUGGUCUUUGCUUGAGAUGUCUCUGACAUCUGUACCCCUUCCAUUUCCACUACUAUCAUUUUAAGGCAGGGCAUCUAAAACAGCACGACUGAUAUUUGGGGUAAGAUAGAUCUUAGGUUGGGGUAGGUGGGCAACCUGUUUUGAAAGAUAUUUGGUUACAUCCCUGACCACCUCCCACUAGAUGCCAGUAGCACCAUCCCAGUGAUGACUAAAAUUAUCUCCAGACAUUGGCAAUGUCUGGGAAUAUCCUCUGAGGGGCAAAAUCGCCCCUGGUAGAGAAUCCCUGAUCUAGAAAUAGAUUAACAUCUUCACCCACCAAGCUUUUCCUGCCUGAAACACUCUUUCCCCAAAGUCCUAAUUCAUUCUUUCCAUAGACAGUGAAUACGAAGAAUGGCUGUUCUCCACCCCUCCCAACCAGGAAAGAACACCUGAGCCUAGACCUUACAAAUGUAGAAGAAAAUUCUAUGUCCUCAAGAGGGUCUCAUCCUCUUGAAAACGAAAGGAUGAGGAUUAUAACAAAGCCACCUCCACCUUCUUGAAGCCUCCAGAUCCUUCGAAGCCUCGCCCCUGCCCGGUACUCUCAGGGCGCUUUAUCUGCACCCACCUAAUACCAGAACUGGUUUCGGGAGGGUUUAUCUACCGCUCUCUGAGGGCAAGUAGCUUCUAUGUAGUCCUCUUGCAAGAAGGCUUCGGUGACGCCACGCCUCCCAGAUAGAAGGCCCAGUUGUCUCCGCCACCGAGGUUUUGCGUCCCGGGACCCAGGAGCUGACAGCAGCGGGGCAGAAGGCGAAGACACAGCCCUUACAUACACGCGCCAUGAAAAGCCCAGCCCAGCGAGACUCACCUAGCACGCCGGAAGCUACCGCGGGCACGCCGGAAGUUGCCGCGCGGCACGCCGGGAUCUGAAAGUCGGGACGCAAGUGCACAGGCCAGGUCCGAAAGUUCGCCUUCAAAGACCGCCCCCUUCCUCCUGGUUUCCGCCCUCUGCUAAUCGACUUGGGUUCUCACCGUGAGGGUCCUUCUCUCAUACUCUGGACCAAUCAUAACGUCCGAGAACCCCUCCGUGCGUCCACGGAGGCACCGGUUGUGAGGCGCUUCCCCUUGUCGCUUGUGUUAGCAGGCGACGCGAGGCUCACAACCCGGUUUCACGGACGAGGUGGUGAAACUGUGCUGACACCUCGGGGCUUGCUCUGUUCGGCGUAGUGCCUCACACCCCGCGACCUCAACCCCGCCCAACAGCCGGGACGUCGGUACUGGAGCUGCUUUCGCCCUCCAGACGAGGAAUCCGAGGCAGAGUUCAGAUGACUUUCUAUCGACAGAAGUAGUUAAAAUUCAUUUCUGAUCUACUUUAUUCCUAAUUUUGUUUUUAAAUAUUACGGUAGAACCACAAAACAUUCUUGAUCGGUAGAAAAGCUGGGGAUCAGCAGGAACGAUGGGAGGUCCCAGGGAUACAAUUUCCCAGGGAGAGGAAAUCAGUUUUCUGAAGAAGCAGGGUGUACAGUCAGCCUCUCAAGAGAACAGGUUGUCAGCCCUGCUCACAGGGCGCCCACAGACCAUAAGGACAGAACAAGUACCACACCCCACCCCCAUUUCCCCACAUACAGAACAGACCUUAAACAUAAACAGAUCAGUAGAUAUCCCCAUUGAGCAAAGCAAGAAAACCAACGUACCACAUUGGUUGGUCUCAAUUAGGUUCUCAGGCCUGACAAAACCAGAAACUAAAGAAUGUGUAGACAGGACCUCCGGGGAACACAGGUGUCAUUCUCACUCUGGAGACUGAGCAGUGUCCAUGCUGAAUGUAAUUUCAUUUUAAAUAAAUCUUUGGGGUGUGUGUGUGGGGGGGGACAUGACUAUGCUAUCAGUAAUUUGCCUGCUCAGGACACAAGAAACUGAGGGACCUGCUUCUUCCUGCAACAUUCCUAGUCUUCCUAUGACAGUUCUCCCUUACAAAUAAAUCAGCUUCAUAACUA